RNAcentral lists this ribosomal RNA (497 nucleotides) under uncultured bacterium. RNAcentral's name for it is "partial 16S ribosomal RNA". It matches the Rfam family "Bacterial small subunit ribosomal RNA", at positions 28 to 507 of the family's 1533-position model. The record is from RNAcentral.
GAUGAACGCUGGCGGCGUGCCUAAUACAUGCAAGUCGAGCGAACAGACGAGGAGCUUUCUCCUCUGACGUUAGCGGCGGACGGGUGAGUAACACGUGGAUAACCUACCUAUAAGACUGGGAUAACUUCGGGAAACCGGAGCUAAUACCGGAUAAUAUAUUGAGCCGCAUGGUUCAAUAGUGCAUGACGGUUUUGCUGUCACUUAUAGAUGGAUCCGCGCCGCAUUAGCUAGUUGGUAAGGUAACGGCUUACCAAGGCAACGAUGCGUAGCCGACCUGAGAGGAUGAUCGGCCACACUGGAACUGAGACACGGUCCAGACUCCUACGGGAGGCAGCAGUAGGGAAUCUUCCGCAAUGGGCGAAAGCCUGACGGAGCAACGCCGCGUGAGUGAUGAAGGUCUUCGGAUCGUAAAACUCUGUUAUUAGGGAAGGACAAAUGUGUAAGUAACUAUGCACGUCUUGACGGUACCUAAUCAGAAAGCCACGGCUAACUACGUG